Molecule: long non-coding RNA, 2644 nt
Organism: Ictidomys tridecemlineatus (thirteen-lined ground squirrel)
Lineage: Eukaryota; Metazoa; Chordata; Mammalia; Rodentia; Sciuridae
Source: RefSeq, a predicted model, not a curated record
GCGUUCAUCAUGGAUGUGCACCCCUCCCACCUCCUCCAGAUGUUCCCAGGACAAGAGCUAAGUCUGCCUGGCCGGCGCGCGCCGCUUCCGCCCGGGUGGGGAGGGCCUCCCCUCCCCCUAUGGAGAAACACUCUCGUCAGGCCUCCUUGGCCUGUUGUACACCUCCCCAGAGUCGCCAUCGGGGACCCCGGGGCUGUGCCGAGCGGGGUAGAAUGGGGCCGUCUGCAGAGAGAAAAACUUAAUGAUUCAGGGAUCAGAUGCCCUGAAGAGUAGAAGACUUCGGUCCCAACUGGUGUUGCCAAAGCAGCAUACUAAUUCCAUGCCAUGGUCCUGGGUCAAGAUCUGCACAAUCUGAUUGGCCAUAUCACCUCGGAUGGCAAGGGAAUGGAAGUGAUCAAAAUCGUGGAGUCCCAGCUUUCGGAGACGCCUUGCAGCUGCUCGGUAACACUUCCAAGGCUGUGGCUCCACAAGGAGGUAGCGGCAGAGGGAGGAAAGAUGGGCCAGGAACUCCCACAGGCCAUGGUCCCCAUGAUUCAGAUGAAUCCACAUGGUUAUUGACAUACAGAAGCCAAUGUCAAAAACUGAACGUCCAAAUUGACUUAAGAAGGAGCUCAAGAGAACCUUCCGGGUCCUUUGAUUCAUGAAGUCCAGGGUGAUAAAAUUCAAGCCAUCAGGAAAAGGACAUUCUUUUUUAGCUCGCUCCACCAGGACUGGAUCUAUGUCACAGCAUAGGAGACGGAGUUCUCUGGAGGCAUCUGAGCAGUUCUCCCCAUCAUGUAAGGAAAGGAAGUGUUUGUAUAGAGCCACACUCAGAUCCUAAAGGAAUCCAAAAGAGUCAUUGCAGUAUUCAACAUUGAAUGGAAGACAAAUCUCUCAUCCUCUAAGACUGCCAUACUUACUUCUGGCUUUAUAGGAUGUGAGCCUCCUAAUUAUAACCUACAGAGGUUGUAGUUUUUCUUGAGCAGACUCUCAGCGCCCUCCAGGGGUCAUAGACUGUAAAUGCACUAUCCCUAUAUUUUCUUGAUAACUGCUGGUUGGGUUGUAUGGUUCAAAGUUCAAUGAUACUGCAAAGGAGCCUAGAGCAAUAUUUUCUGGCUUAAAUAAUAUGCUGGUAAACACAUCUUUAAAAAUAUAUAUAUAUUAGUUGUUUAUGGUCCUUUAUUUUUGUUUAUUUUAUAUGUGGUGCUGAGAAUUGAACCCAGUGCUUCACACAAGCUAGGCAAGUGCUCUACCACUGAGCCAGAACCCCAGCCCUAAACUCAUCUUUUUUUGGGUAUCUCAGACCCAAGUGAAAAGGAAAGGGGUCCAGGAACGUAACCAGUGUCCCUUACCAGGAAGGUAAGGAAUAGAGCAAGCACCAUCUUAUGAAAACCUGUUUCUCAGAAUAGAAACCUGUGGUUGGAAAAGGUCUGGAUUCCAAAAAUCCUCAUUUAGCCUUCAUUCUACAUCUUUUAGUUUACAUACUGUUUUAUACUUCAUCAACUCCUUCUGAGACUUAUUCUGCUUCUGCAGCCAUCAUUCCCAAAAUACACUAAUGAUCUACUUCUAGCCAAAUCCAACUAUUUAUGAUUUUCACUACCUUAAGAACUUCUUGACUCUUAAAGAAGACAUUCUCUCCUUUUGCUAACUUUGAUUUCUAUAAUCAUUAUAAUCAACUCUAAUUUGUGUUUUUCUAUAUAGUUUUUUACAUUAGGUUCCUUCCUAACGUAUCACGAUUCUUAAAGCUUCUUUUUCUUCCCAAUACUGGAAAUUGAACAAGGGGUGCUCUACCACGAGGUAAAUUCCCUGCCCCAUUUAUUUUUCAUUUUGAGAUGGCUGGCCUCCAACUUGCUAUUAUCCUGCCUCAGCCUCCUGAAUAGCUGGGAUUACAGGUGUGUGCUACCAUGCCUGACUUGUCCUCUCAAACUUUAAUGGACAUAUAAAUCACUGAUAUAAAAUAUACAUGCUGACUUAGUAGAUCUGGGGUGAGGGCUGAGAUUUGUUUGUAUAUAUUUAUUUUUUGCGAUGCUGGGAAUCGAACCCAGGGCUUCACACAUGCCAGGUAAGUUGCUCUACCACUGAGACACAUUCCCAGCCCUGAGAUUAUAUAUUUUUAAUAAGCUGUCAAAUCAUGCCAGUGUUCAAAAAUUAGUAGCAAGGCCCCAAACCACAGUGCUUAUUUUCUCCCCAUUCUCUGUUUAUUUCUUCCAUACUUUCUCAUUGUCUGAUAUUGGGUGUGGUCCCAUUUAACUAGUCAAUCACAUCAGUGACGGGCUGGAUCCCCAGUACCAGGCCAAAAAAAGACAUGAAUGUUCCCCAGGUUAUUAAAUGAAAAGCAAGGUAUAAAAUAGUGUGCUUCUAUUAUUAAAAUUAAAUGAUGGGGGAUAUUUAUACAUUUAUUUAUACAUUUGUAAAUGUUCAGGAAUACACAGGAUGGAUACCCAAGCAAUUAUACUCAUUGGUGCCACUGUGUGGGGGGAAAGGAGGAUUUAGGGUUGACAGUAAAGACUUACUUUUUACUAUGAAGUCAUCCCUUGUUAUCCAUGGUGAACUGGUUUGAGGACCCCAGAGGAUACUGAAAUCCAAGGAUGCUCAUGUUAUUAUGUUAAAUAGUUGUGACUGUAUUGUUUAGGGAAUAAUAAUAAUAAAAAAAAGAUCUGUUCAU